This 440-nucleotide ribosomal RNA is filed under the name uncultured bacterium. RNAcentral's name for it is "partial 16S ribosomal RNA". It matches the Rfam family "Bacterial small subunit ribosomal RNA", at positions 338 to 795 of the family's 1533-position model. The record is from RNAcentral.
CCUACGGGAGGCUGCAGUGGGGGAUAUUGCACAAUGGGAGGAACCCUGAUGCAGCGACGCCGCGUGGGUGAAGAAGCGCCUCGGCGCGUAAAGCCCUGUCAGCAGGGAAGAAAAUGACGGUACCUGAAGACGAAGCCCCGGCUAACUACGUUCCAGCAGCCGCGGUAAUACGUAGGGGGCAGGCGUUAUCCGGAUGUACUGGGUGUAAAGGGGGCGCAGGCGGCGUUGCAAGCCAGGAGUGAAAGCCCGGGGCCCAACCCCGGGACGGCUGUUGGAACUGCGGGGCUGGAGUGCGGGAGGGGCAGGCGGAAUUCCUGGUGUAGCGGUGAAAUGCGUAGAUAUCAGGAGGAACACCGGUGGCGAAGGCGGCCUGCUGGAGUGCAACUGACGUUGAGGCCCGAAAGCGUGGGGAGCGAACAGGAUUAGAUACCCCAGUAGUC